UAGGGAAUCUUCCACAAUGGGCGCAAGCCUGAUGGAGCAACACCGCGUGAGUGAAGAAGGGUUUCGGCUCGUAAAGCUCUGUUGUUAAAGAAGAACACGUAUGAGAGCAACUGUUCAUACGUUGACGGUAUUUAACCAGAAAGUCACGGCUAACUACGUGCCAGCAGCCGCGGUAAUACGUAGGUCCCGAGCGUUGUCCGGAUUUAUUGGGCGUAAAGCGAGCGCAGGCGGUUAGAUAAGUCUGAAGUGAAAGGCAGUGGCUCAACCAUUGUAGGCUUUGGAAACUGUUUAACUUGAGUGCAGAAGGGGAGAGUGGAAUUCCAUGUGUAGCGGUGAAAUGCGUAGAUAUAUGGAGGAACACCGGUGGCGAAAGCGGCUCUCUGGUCUGUAACUGACGCUGAGGCUCGAAAGCGUGGGGAGCGAACAGGAUUAGAUACCCUGGUAGUCCACGCCGUAAACGAUGAGUGCUAGGUGUUAGGUCCUUUCCGGGACUUAGUGCCGCAGCUAACGCAUUAAGCACUCCGCCUGGGGAGUACGACCGCAAGGUU
This 548-nucleotide ribosomal RNA is filed under the name uncultured bacterium. RNAcentral's name for it is "bacterial SSU rRNA". It matches the Rfam family "Bacterial small subunit ribosomal RNA", at positions 355 to 895 of the family's 1533-position model. The record is from RNAcentral.